This 102-nucleotide small RNA is filed under the name Salmonella enterica subsp. enterica serovar Cerro. Its description in RNAcentral is "partial RtT sRNA". It matches the Rfam family "RtT RNA", at positions 31 to 130 of the family's 130-position model. From Rfam's summary of the family: This family represents a bacterial cis-regulatory element known as RtT RNA. The exact function of RtT is unknown although it is thought that it may be involved in changing the cellular response in relation to amino acid starvation. The record is from RNAcentral. Lineage: Bacteria; Pseudomonadati; Pseudomonadota; Gammaproteobacteria; Enterobacterales; Enterobacteriaceae.
UUCGACUAAGGUUCGAUUCGAGCGUCAGCGAGAAAGCGUUGCCGCAGGCAACGACCCGAAGGGCGAAGCGCGCAGCGCUGAGUCAUCCUUCCCCCAUCACCA